UAUCUGCUGAACUUGAGAGGCUGAUGGAAAUGGAUGUGACUGAGAGGAUCGAUGCAUCUCCACGGGUGUUCAUCGGGCAGAAGAGAGCAGGAACACAGCUGCAUUCAUAACACAUGAAGGACUAUUCAGGUUCCACUGGGUUCCAUAUGGACUGUGUACAGCUCCAAGACCUCAAGGGGGUCCAGAACUAUCUGGAUGAAGUCAUAGUCUAUGGCAGGGACGAGCAAGAACAUGACUACAAUCUGCUGGUGGUCAAGACUGAAACGGUGUCAUUUCAACCAGAAAAGCCCGACACUUCCUGAGACACCACAUUUCAGCCUGAGGUUUGCUGCCAAAUAAGGAUCACCUUAGAACUAUCACAGUAGCUCCAGCACCUAGCGACGCCACCACUCUACGCUCCCUCCUAGGACAGCCCGUGGCCAAGUGGAAAGGGAACUUGGCUUGUAACCGGAAGUUUGCCGGUUCCCCAUCGCUCCCCGGAUGCUACUCAGUGUGGCAGCCCACUGCUCCUAAUUCUAGGAUGGGUCAAAAUGCAGAGAAUAAUUUGGUGCAUAAUAAUAUUAUAGAGCUUGAACUGGUGGAUCCAGAUCAGUGAAGGACUUCACUGUGGCAUGUGAGCUGUGUCCAUACAAAAAAGGGAUGGUCUAGAACAGCAAAGUCCAAAGUCCUGUCGUGCUCAAGCCUUUCGUUGAUGUCAGAGACAAACUCUCGGUCCAAGACGUGAUCGUGUACCGGGGCCCUUAGCGACAGCUAGUCCCGGUGGCCCAAAGAAAGCAGCUUGUUGACCUGGCACAUCAAACCCACCAGGACGUCAUCCGCACUAAACAGAGGCUGCGGGACGUCUACUGGUCGCCAAGCAUGGCCAUGUGUGUGCAGGAGAGCAUCAGUGACAUGCCAGAUGAAUGGGAUUAAGUGCCAAAAACCCAUGCUGCACCACCUUCUGCCAGUUCCGCUGCCGGCAGGAGGUGGGUAUUGACAUCGUAGGACCAUUUGAAUCAGCACCCUGGGACGGCCGCUCUGCAGUGACACUGACAGACUGUGAUGCAGAUGCAGAGGCUGGUGCGAGUACCUACAUGCUGGAAGAUGGACGUACAUGGAUUGCCUGUCACUGCUCUCUGGUUCCAGAAAGAGCAAAGAACAUUAUCACUGGUGCUGCUGCUCCAGUCCCUGAGCCAGAGCCACUGGACGAUCACAUGAUCAGAACCACUAGGGUCAGAAACUAUGAUCAUUAAUCCUUUUCUCAAGGCCUUUGGGGGACAAAUAUUUAAGAGACAUAAAAAAAAAAAGGUAGAGAAGGUUUUAUUUUGCACUAUUUUACAGUCUUAUUUGAUUGGAGAUAUUGUGUUUUUUUAGUUACCAAUACUUUUGAAAACAUGUUGUCUAUACACUUACUACUCCACAGCGCUAGGUGUCGCUGUAGACCAUUAGUUGGGGUCUGGGUGGUGCUAUAAAAUAUAAAUCUGCCUCUCCUUAAGAAAGCAGUGCAUCACAUGAAAAUAAAAGUCACAUGUGUGUUUGGAACA
Long non-coding RNA from Solea senegalensis (Senegalese sole), 1523 nucleotides. RefSeq lists it as uncharacterized. NCBI's taxonomy places the organism in Eukaryota, Metazoa, Chordata, Actinopteri, Pleuronectiformes, Soleidae. The record is from RefSeq and is a predicted model, not a curated record. The transcript is spliced from 2 exons.